UGGACUAAUACCGCAUAUACUCUUGCUACACAAGUAGAGGAGAGGAAAGGAGUAAUCCGCUUUACGAUGAGCCUGCGGCCUAUUAGCCUGUUGGUGGGGUAACGGCCUACCAAAGCUACGAUAGGUAGCCGACCUGAGAGGGUGACCGGCCACAUUGGGACUGAGAUACGGCCCAGACUCCUACGGGAGGCAGCAGCUGAGAAUCUUCCACAAUGGACGAAAGUCUGAUGGAGCGACAUCGCGUGAGGGAUGAAGGCCUUCGGGUUGUAAACCUCGGAAAUUAUCGAAGAAUGAGUGACAGUAGAUAAUGUAAGCCUCGGCUAACUACGUGCCAGCAGCCGCGGUAAUACGUAGGAGGCAAACGUUGCUCGGAUUUACUGGGCGUAAAGGGUGAGUAGGCGGACUUAUAAGUCUAAGGUGAAAGACCGGAGCUCAACUUCGGGAACGCCUCGGAUACUGUAAGUCUUGGAUAUUGUAGGGGAUGAUGGAAUUCUCGGUGUAGCGGUGGAAUGCGCAGAUAUCGAGAGGAACACCUAUAGCGAAGGCAGUCAUCUGGGCAUUUAUCGACGCUGAAUCACGAAAGCUAGGGGAGCAAACAGGCUUAGAUACCCUGGUAGUCCUAGCCGUAAACGUUGUACACUAGGUGCUUCUAUUUAAAUAGGAGUGCCGUAGCUAACGUCUUAAGUGUACCGCCUGAGGAGUAUGCCCGCAAGGGUGAAACUCAAAGAAAUUGACGGGUCCCCGCACAAGUGGUGGAGCAUGUGGUUUAAUUCGAUGAUACGCGAAAAACCUUACCUGGGUUUGAAUUGUAAGAUGAAUGAUUUAGAGAUAAGUCAGACCGCAAGGACGUUUUACAUAGGUGCUGCAUGGCUGUCGUCAGCUCGUGUCGUGAGAUGUUGGGUUAAGUCCCGCAACGAGCGCAACCCUCACCCUUUGUUGCUACCGAGUAAUGUCGGGCACUCUUAGGGGACUGCCUACGUUCAAGUAGGAGGAAGGUGGGGAUGAUGUCAAGUCCUCAUGGCCCUUAUGUCCAGGGCUACACACGUGCUACAAUGGCAAGUACAAAGAGAAGCGAGACCGCGAGGUGGAGCAAAACUCAAAAAAGUUGCCUCAGUUCGGAUUGGAGUCUGAAACUCGACUCCAUGAAGUUGGAAUCACUAGUAAUCGUAGAUCAGAACGCUACGG
RNAcentral lists this ribosomal RNA (1185 nucleotides) under Brachyspira canis. RNAcentral describes it as "bacterial SSU rRNA". It matches the Rfam family "Bacterial small subunit ribosomal RNA", at positions 159 to 1362 of the family's 1533-position model. Lineage: Bacteria; Pseudomonadati; Spirochaetota; Spirochaetia; Brachyspirales; Brachyspiraceae. The record is from RNAcentral.